GCAGCAUGGUCUUAGCUUGCUAAGGCUGAUGGCGACCGGCGCACGGGUGAGUAACACGUAUCCAACCUGCCGUCUACUCUUGGCCAGCCUUCUGAAAGGAAGAUUAAUCCAGGAUGGCAUCAUGAGUUCACAUGUCCGCAUGAUUAAAGGUAUUUUCCGGUAGACGAUGGGGAUGCGUUCCAUUAGAUAGUAGGCGGGGUAACGGCCCACCUAGUCAACGAUGGAUAGGGGUUCUGAGAGGAAGGUCCCCCACAUUGGGACUGAGACACGGUCCAAACUCCUACGGGAGGCAGCAGUGAGGAAUAUUGGUCAAUGGGCGAUGGCCUGAACCAGCCAAGUAGCGUGAAGGAUGACUGCCCUAUGGGUUGUAAACUUCUUUUAUAAAGGAAUAAAGUCGGGUAUGCAUACCCGUUUGCAUGUACUUUAUGAAUAAGGAUCGGCUAACUCCGUGCCAGCAGCCGCGGUAAUACGGAGGAUCCGAGCGUUAUCCGGAUUUAUUGGGUUUAAUGGGAGCGUAGAUGGAUGUUUAAGUCAGUUGUGAAAGUUUGCGGCUCAACCGUAAAAUUGCAGUUGAUACUGGAUGUCUUGAGUGCAGUUGAGGCAGGCGGAAUUCGUGGUGUAGCGGUGAAAUGCUUAGAUAUCACGAAGAACUCCGAUUGCGAAGGCAGCCUGCUAAGCUGCAACUGACAUUGAGGCUCGAAAGUGUGGGUAUCAA
RNAcentral lists this ribosomal RNA (715 nucleotides) under uncultured Bacteroidales bacterium. Its description in RNAcentral is "bacterial SSU rRNA". It matches the Rfam family "Bacterial small subunit ribosomal RNA", at positions 67 to 771 of the family's 1533-position model. Lineage: Bacteria; Pseudomonadati; Bacteroidota; Bacteroidia; Bacteroidales. The record is from RNAcentral.